This is a long non-coding RNA of Hypanus sabinus (Atlantic stingray), 2086 nucleotides long. RefSeq lists it as uncharacterized. NCBI's taxonomy places the organism in Eukaryota, Metazoa, Chordata, Chondrichthyes, Myliobatiformes, Dasyatidae. The record is from RefSeq and is a predicted model, not a curated record. The transcript has 2 exons.
CCCGGGUUUAUCUCCGGCUCAGUGCGGCUGUAGGGCCCAACACCCGCAAGCCCGGCCUCUCUCAGUCCGUUCUCUGCAGUUACUGUCUUGGUCGGUCACAACUGUUCCGACGAUGAGGCCUUCUGAAGCACCUCAGUGACGAGAAGGAGAGCGAACACCCAUCUACACCGAGGGGUGGGCUGUGUUGACUUUUAAAUUCUUGGCCCUUAACAUACGAGAUGACCUGUCGCACAGAUACUAUUACAUCAAUGCACAAGCGCGUCUUCGCUUUCUCGGGAGGUUCAGCUUGCUACCAAAGACUUACAAACAUCUACAGAUCUCUAUUGGAAGUAACCCUGACUGGUUGAAACAUGAUCUGACACGGUAACUGUAAGGCAAUGUGGUUUUUAAACACCCUCCGCAUGUCAGAUGUGAACAGCUGCUCCCAAUGAAAUCUCCCUGAUGCACCAUCAAUAACUCACUUUGAGAUGUAAAGGCGAGAUAUCGGCUUUUAUUGACUGGAAGAAGGAACCAGCAGUGAGUGACCACCAUACUACAUCCUGGAGACUGAGAGCAGGGCCCAGGCUCUGAUCGCCUUUAUACAGGGGCCUGUGGGAGGAGCCACAGGAGCAGUCAGCAAAGGGCGUGUCCAGACAGGCACAUGUAGUUCACCACACUCCCUAGUUCCUUCCCAAUGCUCUCAUACUUUGUUACGUCCAAAUACUCCCCCUCAAGGCUCAUACUUAGUCAUAGAACAUUACAGCACAGAUAUAUUACAGCCCCAGACAGCCCAUCUAGUCUGUGCCAAACUAUUAAUGCUGUCUAAUCCUAUUGUCCUACACUCAAGAGCUCUGCCCUCCAUCCAGGUACCUAUUCAAGUUUUCCUUAAAUGUUGAAAUCAAACCUGCAUCCACUUCCGCUGACAGCUUAUUCCGGUCUCACCACUUCGAAGUUCUCCUAACGUUCCGCUUAAACAGUUUACCCUUCACCGUUAGCCUAUAACAUCCCAACUGCUGUCCUCAAUAGUUUGAUUUAUGAAGGCCAAUGUGCCAAAAGCUGUUCUCAACCCUAUCUGCCUGUGAUAUCACUUCCAAAGAAUUUCUGUAUUGCCAAAUCCCUCUGUUCUACCACACUCCUCAGUGCCCUACCAUUCACCGUGCAAGUCCUACCCUGCUCUGUCCUCCCAAAGUGAAACACCUCACUCAUCUGUAUUAGAUUCCAUCUGCCAUUAUUCAGCCUAAUUUCCAGCUGGUGCAGAUCCUGCUGUAAACUUCCUCUUUGUCCACUGCACCCCUAACCUUGGUGUCAUCUACAAAUUUGCUGAUCCAGUUUACCACGUUAUCAUUCAGAUCAUUGAUAUAGAUGACUAGUAAUAGAUCCAACACUGAUCCCGGCAGCACACCACUAUUCUCGGGCCUCCAGUCACAGUUGCAACCAUCUAGUACCCUCUCCUGUGAAGCCAAUAUCCAAUCCAAUUUACUACCUUAUCCUGAAUGCCAAACUCCCAUUCAGGAUCUUAUCCAAGGCCUUGCUAAUGUAAAGGGGAUUUCUUCUUUUUCUUUGUUACUGUGUAUGUAAUCAAAAUGGCUUCUUUGUUUUGUUAAAAGUAGGAAUGCUUCUUUGUUGCGAGAGAGUGCUGGAAGCUUGUUUGGGUUAAAAUUUACUGAUAAUGAGAAUUGUAUUCCUUUGUAAACCAAUUGGGAUUAAUGUUGUUCUUUCUUCUGAGUCUGUAAGCUAUUGUUGGCGGGCUUUUGGGCAGAUCGGCGUGAGGGGGUGAGAGAGAGAGGACGCGAUGCUGUAAGCUGGGCAAGGAACGGACCCCAAGGGGGGGGGGUCCAAGGCCAGGAGGUACCCUGAGGAGAGGAGAGGACGAUAGAUGUACUUGGUUGACCACCGGGUGGUCCUGAGCUGCGAGUCGAGGAGUUCGGAGGGGAUCGAAUGGUGGCCAGAAGACUUCAGUAAUUGAGCUCCAACGGUUGUGCACGAAGUGGUUUGGACUUUGAUAAGUUUGGCGCCUUUUCUUUAUUGUUUUUUCCUUCAUAUAUACUGUAUUGUUAUUAAUCACUUAGUUAUAGUAACCUUUAUAAAUUGUACUCAUUUAAUCGCA